AUGCGAGAUGAGCACAUCGACAUCGUUGCUGUCCAGGAGACCAUGCGUCGCGAUUUCUCGCUCCCCGAGCUCGACCGUUUGAGCUCCCACCUCUUUGCGUGGCAUUGGCUCCCUUCUAGUGGGAGCUCAGGCCACUCGGGUGGCAUCCUUUUAGGAGUGAAGGAUGCCACCUUCGAGGUGGGUAGCAUGGACCGGGGGGAAUUCUUCGUCAGCAUGGAAUUAUUCGAGAGAGAUCUCAACUUCAAGUGGGAGAUCAUCAUUGUAUACGGGCCUACCGACCAUAGUCGGUCGGCCGCCUUCCUCGAGGAGCUUCACCGAAAGAUCUCGGCGGCCUCCCUCCCCGUGGUUGUGGGUGGCGACUUUAACUUGCUGCGCGUGGCGGAAGACAAGAGCAACGACAAUGUUUGCUUUGCCCGGAUGCAGAUGUUUAAUGACUUCAUCGCUGACCUCGCCCUUCGGGAGAUUGACAGGAUUGGUGCCCGGUUCACCUGGACCAAUCGGCAAGCCGCCCCGACCCAGUCCGUCUUGGACAGGGUCCUAGUGUCCCCGGAUUGGAACCUCCGUUGC
This 567-nucleotide ribosomal RNA is filed under the name Triticum aestivum (bread wheat). RNAcentral's name for it is "partial small subunit ribosomal RNA". Lineage: Eukaryota; Viridiplantae; Streptophyta; Magnoliopsida; Poales; Poaceae. The record is from RNAcentral.